GACGAGGGAUCCUAGCGUUGCUCGGAAUUAUUGGGCGUAAAGCGCGCGUAGGCGGCCACUUAAGUCGGAUGUGAAAGCCCCUGGCUCAACUGGGGAAGUGCACCCGAAACUGAAUGGCUUGAGUGCGAAAGAGGGUCGCGGAAUUCCCGGUGUAGAGGUGAAAUUCGUAGAUAUUGGGAGGAACACCGGUGGCGAAGGCGACCAUCUGGACGAAGACUGACGCUGAGGCGCGAAAGCGUGGGGAGCAAACAGG
Molecule: ribosomal RNA, 253 nt
Filed under: uncultured bacterium
Lineage: Bacteria
Description: partial 16S ribosomal RNA
Rfam family: Bacterial small subunit ribosomal RNA
Source: RNAcentral